This 246-nucleotide ribosomal RNA is filed under the name uncultured bacterium. RNAcentral's name for it is "partial 16S ribosomal RNA". It matches the Rfam family "Bacterial small subunit ribosomal RNA", at positions 528 to 773 of the family's 1533-position model. The record is from RNAcentral.
UAGGUGGCAAGCGUUAUCCGGAAUUACUGGGUGUAAAGGGUGUGUAGGCGGGGAUGCAAGUCAGAUGUGAAAAUCACGGGCUCAACUCGUGAACUGCAUUUGAAACUGUAUUUCUUGAGGGUCGGAGAGGUAAACGGAAUUCCCAGUGUAGCGGUGAAAUGCGUAGAUAUUGGGAGGAACACCAGUGGCGAAGGCGGUUUACUGGACGACAACUGACGCUGAGACACGAAAGCGUGGGGAGCAAAC